AACGAACGCUGGCGGCGUGGCUAAGGCAUGCAAGUCGAGCGGAUCUAUCCAACGGGUAACUGGAGGGUAGAUUAGCGGCGGACGGGUGAGGAAUACAUGGACAACGUACCCUAGACUCAGGGAUAGCGGCGGGGAAACCCUUUGCGAAAGUGCCGGUAAUACCUGAUGACCUCGUAGGAUCGCAUGAUCCAUCGAGCAAAGCUCCGACGGUCUGGGAUCGGUUCAUGCCUAUCAGCUAGUUGGCGGGUAACGGCCCACCAAGGCGGCGACGGGUACCGGGUGUGAGAGCAUGACCCGGCACAUCGGAACUGAGACACGGUCCGGACACCUACGGGUGGCUGCAGCAACGAAUAUUCCGCAAUGGACGCAAGUCUGACGGAGCGACGCCGCGUGCA
This 395-nucleotide ribosomal RNA is filed under the name uncultured bacterium. RNAcentral describes it as "bacterial SSU rRNA". It matches the Rfam family "Bacterial small subunit ribosomal RNA", at positions 29 to 405 of the family's 1533-position model. The record is from RNAcentral.